RNAcentral lists this unclassified non-coding RNA (263 nucleotides) under plant metagenome. RNAcentral's name for it is "partial contains small subunit ribosomal RNA, internal transcribed spacer 1, and 5.8S ribosomal RNA". The record is from RNAcentral.
UUUCCGUAGGUGAGCCUGCGGAAGGAUCAUUAUUGAAUAACCGAGGUGCGAGGGCUGUCGCUGACCCGACAGGUCGUGCACGCCCGAGUGCCCUCACACACAUCCAUCUUACCCCUAUGUGCACCACCGCGUGGGUCCCCCUUUGGCUUGUUCGGAGGGGGGCUUACGUUUUCACACAAACUUUGUAUGCAGUGUAGAAUGUAUUUUUUGUUUUUGCGAUCACGCAAUCAAUACAACUUUCAACAACGGAUCUCUUGGCUCUC